Non-coding RNA from Phlebotomus papatasi, 73 nucleotides. The record is from Rfam. NCBI's taxonomy places the organism in Eukaryota, Metazoa, Arthropoda, Insecta, Diptera, Psychodidae.
GCCUCUAUAGCUCAGUUGGUAGAGCAUUCGCCUAGAUAGCGAAAGGCCCCCAGUUGAAGCCUAGGUGGAGGCA